Molecule: small nucleolar RNA, 83 nt
Filed under: Pelobates cultripes (western spadefoot toad)
Lineage: Eukaryota; Metazoa; Chordata; Amphibia; Anura; Pelobatidae
Rfam family: Small nucleolar RNA SNORD35
About the family: U35 is a C/D box snoRNA located in intron 6 of ribosomal protein L13A and intron 3 of ribosomal protein S11 in humans and at homologous positions in mouse and chicken ribosomal protein genes. U35 guides the methylation of 2'-O-ribose sites in 28S rRNA.
Source: RNAcentral
AGCACAUGAUGUUUAUUCUCACGAUGGUCUUCCAAGCUUCAGGCUUUGACGAUAAUGCCAAAUGGCUUUGCUGAUGCUUCAUA